GUCUACGACCACACCACAGGUAAUGUACCGGUUCUCGUCCGAUCACCGAAGUCAAGCCCUGUUGGGCGGCGUCAGUACUUGGCUGGGUGACCACCUGGGAAUACGCCGUGUUGUAGACUCUU
Molecule: ribosomal RNA, 122 nt
Filed under: Pseudodiploria strigosa
Lineage: Eukaryota; Metazoa; Cnidaria; Anthozoa; Scleractinia; Faviidae
Source: RNAcentral